This 487-nucleotide ribosomal RNA is filed under the name uncultured bacterium. Its description in RNAcentral is "partial 16S ribosomal RNA". It matches the Rfam family "Bacterial small subunit ribosomal RNA", at positions 28 to 507 of the family's 1533-position model. The record is from RNAcentral.
GAUGAACGCUAGCGAUAGGCUUAACACAUGCAAGUCGAGGGGCAGCACAAGGUAGCUUGCUAUCUGGGUGGCGACCGGCGCACGGGUGCGUAACGCGUAUGCAACUUGCCCUAUACAGGAGGAUAACCCGUCGAAAGACGGACUAAUACUGCGUAUGCUCACAACUUGGCAUCAAGUGGUGAGGAAAGAAAUUCGGUAUAGGAUAGGCAUGCGUCCCAUUAGCUUGUUGGUGAGGUAACGGCUCACCAAGGCAACGAUGGGUAGGGGAACUGAGAGGUUUAUCCCCCACACUGGUACUGAGACACGGACCAGACUCCUACGGGAGGCAGCAGUGAGGAAUAUUGGCCAAUGGGCGCGAGCCUGAACCAGCCAAGUCGCGUGAAGGAUGACUGUCUUAUGGAUUGUAAACUUCUUUUAUACGGGAAUAACAAGAGUCACGUGUGACUCCCUGCAUGUACCGUAUGAAUAAGCAUCGGCUAACUCCGUG